GAGCCCCCCCCCCGGACCAGUGGCCAGGACCCGGGCAGUCUGAGCGCCGCUGAAAAUCUGCUCGCGUGCCAUCUUCAGCACGCGUGCCAUAGGUUGCCUACCUCUGAUCUAAGUGCUCAUCCUCCUGGUAUCUGGAAUCUGAGAUGAUGGCAGAGGAGACUUUGGAAGUGCUGGAAUGACCAAAUGAGGAACAGGGAAGGAACUCAGCAGCUGAUCCUGGAGGUUACAAAGACAGCUGGUGGCAUUUAAAAUCCUGCUCUCAUUUACAGCGAGGCGGAAAAUACAGCAUUGCUGUUGCCACUGAAAGGGGAAUUUGCCCCAUGUCUUAGACACAGACCAGAAUCAAAACCCUACAUCCAAAUAUCCCAGAACAUUGGGAAUGCCAUAUAUUGGAGCCAAACUUCACGGGUGAGCCCCAUGUGUCCACUGAAGUCAA
Molecule: long non-coding RNA, 436 nt
Organism: Terrapene triunguis (Three-toed box turtle)
Lineage: Eukaryota; Metazoa; Chordata; Testudines; Emydidae
Exons: 3
Source: RefSeq, a predicted model, not a curated record